Long non-coding RNA from Camelus dromedarius (Arabian camel), 273 nucleotides. RefSeq lists it as uncharacterized. The transcript has 3 exons. The record is from RefSeq and is a predicted model, not a curated record. Lineage: Eukaryota; Metazoa; Chordata; Mammalia; Artiodactyla; Camelidae.
ACCACAUCAUGUCAGCGGCUUCUUGAGUUCUAGACUUUGUGGAAGAAUUGUUAAUGAUCCCACUAGGACCUUCAAAAACCUUAGAGUGCUGGUGCAAAGAGAAGACAGUUGGGUGGGAGAGAUGACACAGACAGAAGAACAGACGUGGAGGAAGAAGAGUGAAAAAAGACAUGCGUGGGAAAGAGAAGAGGCAAUGGGGACCAAAAAACUGAAUACAGGGAGCAGGAUCAGUUUCUCCAUUUAUCAGUAAGAUAAUUUCAAGAUAAUCACUGU